ACAUGUUUUCUGGAAUCAGCUCCAUGCUUCAGCAAUCUAUAUUUAGACUGUCUAAUCCUGUUGUGAUAAAGUGAAGCAGACAUUAGAUAGCAGGCCAUUAUUGUCUCCAAAUGACAGAUUCUUGUGAAGAUGGACCACAGAUUGAAUGUUGUCCGUCAGUCUGUUAUGUGCCAUUAUUUAUGAAUUUGUGAAAGGCAUGAAAAAUACUGAGAAAAGGGCUUUGUGUGCAAUAUUAAAUUACAUGUACUUAGUUAAACAUGAAAAUGUAUAAAAUAUGAAUGUAAUAAAGAAGAAAUAUACAUGUA
Molecule: long non-coding RNA, 305 nt
Organism: Saccostrea cuccullata (small rock oyster)
Lineage: Eukaryota; Metazoa; Mollusca; Bivalvia; Ostreida; Ostreidae
Exons: 2
Source: RefSeq, a predicted model, not a curated record